This 326-nucleotide long non-coding RNA is filed under the name Oryctolagus cuniculus (rabbit). RNAcentral's name for it is "lncRNA (ENSOCUG00000034233.1)". The record is from RNAcentral. Lineage: Eukaryota; Metazoa; Chordata; Mammalia; Lagomorpha; Leporidae.
GCGAUACGGGGCCAAACCUCAGGAGGGAGGACGGCUUCACUCCGUCAAGCUAUCGGACACAUUGCCAGGGAAAGCCAGACAUUCAUACCUCCUUCAGCACUGGACACAGCCUAGGAUAUGGCUGGGAUCAGGACCUCCCCUCCCAUCUCGAGUCCCAAGAGGCUGGAGGGGAAAGAGAGGGGCGCUCCUCCAAUCCACCCCCACCAGCUCCCACCAGGAGCAAGGGCUUUGUAAAGAGAAAGCAACACUCCACCCUGCAAACAUGAACGGGCAGCAAGAAUGAAUCCAUUCUCUAAGGGAAGCCAGGCUGGGGACAUCCGCAGGGA